Molecule: unclassified non-coding RNA, 763 nt
Filed under: Hevea brasiliensis (rubber tree)
Lineage: Eukaryota; Viridiplantae; Streptophyta; Magnoliopsida; Malpighiales; Euphorbiaceae
Source: RNAcentral
ACCAUUGUCCUCUUUCUUCUAUAUUGUUCAAUUUUUAUUAUGACUCGUCCUUCUAGAUUUCUGCUUAGCACCAACUCAUCUUCAACGCCGGCGGCGGAGCCACCGUCGACGGUGACAGUGGAGUCUGAUUUCGUUGUAAUACUAGCUGCGUUGCUCUGUGCGCUGAUUUGUGUAGUAGGACUCAUCGCCGUCGCGAGAUGUGCGUGGCUCCGGCGAGGAAUCGGGGCCGGCGGGAACGGUGGUAGUCAACCGUCGGCGAAUAAAGGAUUGAAGAAGAAAGUGUUGCAAUCGUUGCCUAAAUUCACCUACGAUCCAAGUAGUACGGCGAACGGUGCGGCGUUCACGGCGGAGUGUGCGAUUUGUUUGGCGGAAUACGCCGUCGGAGAUGAGAUCCGUGUGCUGCCGCAGUGUGGACAUAGUUUUCAUCUUCAGUGUAUUGAUACUUGGCUGGGCUCACACUCUUCAUGUCCUUCUUGUCGUCAAAUUCUCGUCGUUGCUCGGUGCCGGAAGUGCGGUGAGUUCCCGGCAGUUUCCUGUAAAUCCGACGGAGCUCCGGUUACAACUCCGGCCGAGUCUCGUUCAUGCGGUACAUCUACUAGCUCAAAUAAUUUCUUGGUCUAGCGUAACAAUAAAAAAGAGGCAUUAGUUUUUUAAGUUAUAUACUCUGACAAAUCGGUGUAAACGAUAAAUGUAAUUUACACCGUCAGUGCAGUUUUACCUGUGGUAACAUGUCAGUUACUGUGUUGAUGCAGGUUAGGGUAAA